GAUGAACGCUGGCGGCGUGCCUAAUACAUGCAAGUAGAACGCUGAAGGAAGGAGCUUGCUCUUUCCGGAUGAGUUGCGAACGGGUGAGUAACGCGUAGGUAACCUGCCUGGUAGCGGGGGAUAACUAUUGGAAACGAUAGCUAAUACCGCAUAACAGUAGAUGUUGCAUGAUAUCUACUUAAAAGGUGCAAUUGCACCACUACCAGACGGACCUGCGUUGUAUUAGCUAGUUGGUGAGGUAACGGCUCACUAAGGGGACGAUACAUAGCCGACCGGAGAGGGUGAUCGGCCACCCGGGGGCGGGGACACGGCCCAGGCGACUGCGGGAGGCAGCAGUAGGGAAUCUUCGGCAAUGGACGGAAGUCUGGCCGAACAACGCCACGUGAGUGAAGGAGGUUUUCGGAUCGUAAAGCUCUGUUGUGAGAGAAGAACGAGUGUGGGAGUGGAAGGUUCACACUGUGACGGCAUCUAACCAGAAAGGGACGGCUAACUACGUG
RNAcentral lists this ribosomal RNA (497 nucleotides) under uncultured bacterium. Its description in RNAcentral is "partial 16S ribosomal RNA". It matches the Rfam family "Bacterial small subunit ribosomal RNA", at positions 28 to 507 of the family's 1533-position model. The record is from RNAcentral.